AUUGAACGCUGGCGGCAUGCCUUACACAUGCAAGUCGAACGGUAACGCGGGGCAACCUGGCGACGAGUGGCGAACGGGUGAGUACUGUAUCGGAACGUGCCCAAUAGUGGGGGAUAGCCCGGCGAAAGCGGGACUAAUACCGCAUGAGACCUGAGGGGGAAAGCGAGGGAUCGCACGACGUCGCGCCGUUGGAGCGGCCGAUAGCAGAUUAGGUAGUUGGUGGGGUAAAGGCCUACCAAGCCUGCGAUCUGUAGCUGGUUUGAGAGGAUGACCAGCCACACUGGGACUGAGACACGGCCCAGACUCCUACGGGAGGCAGCAGUGGGGAAUUUUGGACAAUGGGCGCAAGCCUGAUCCAGCCAUGCCGCGUGCGGGAAGAAGGCCUUCGGGUUGUAAACCGCUUAUGUCAGGGAAGAAAUCUUCUGGGUUAAUACCUCGGGAGGAUGACGGUACCUGAAGAAUAAGCACCGGCUAACUACGUGCCAGCCGCCGCCGUAA
RNAcentral lists this ribosomal RNA (498 nucleotides) under uncultured bacterium. Its description in RNAcentral is "partial 16S ribosomal RNA". It matches the Rfam family "Bacterial small subunit ribosomal RNA", at positions 29 to 523 of the family's 1533-position model. The record is from RNAcentral.